This is a long non-coding RNA of Loxodonta africana (African savanna elephant), 8364 nucleotides long. RefSeq lists it as uncharacterized. The record is from RefSeq and is a predicted model, not a curated record. NCBI's taxonomy places the organism in Eukaryota, Metazoa, Chordata, Mammalia, Proboscidea, Elephantidae. The transcript is spliced from 3 exons.
ACAAGUGUUGGUAAGGAUGUGGAGAAAUUGGAACUUUUCCUGAUGAGAAUGUAAAAUAGCGCAGCUGCUACGGAAAAGUUUUGUAGUUCCUCAAAAAGUUAAACACAGAAUUACCAUAGGACCUAGCAAUUCCACUCCCAGGUGUAUACCCAAAAGACUUGAAUGCAAGAGUGCAAACAGAUACUUGUACACCAAUAUUCAUUGCAGCAUUAUUCACAAUAACUGAAAGGUGGAAACAACCCGUGUGUCCAUGAAUUAAUAAACAAAAUGUGGUAUAUACAUACAAUGGAAUAGUAUUCAGCUAUAAAGAGAGAUGAAGUUUUGACACAUGUUACCACAUCGAUGAACCCCCAAAACGUUAUGCUAAGUGAAAUAAGCCAGAUGCAAAAGGGGGAAUAUUGUAGGACCUCACUUACACAAAUAUCUAAAAUAGGGAAAUGCAUAGAGACCAAAGUGGAUUAAUGGUUACCCGGAACUGGAGGGAAAGGAGAAUGAGAAGUUAUUGCUUAAUGGGUACUGGUUUCUGUUUGGGGUGAUUAAAAAGUUUUGCAAAUAGCCAGGGGUGAUGGUUAUACAACCUUGUGAAUGUAAUUAAUGUCAUUGAAUUGUAAACUUAAAAGCGGUUAGAAUGGCAAACUUUCUGUCAUAUAUUUUUUCCACAAUAAAAAAAAAUUUUUUUGUUUUUUAAUUUAUAGGGACGCUCACUAUUGGCCAUAGCAAACCAAAUGGAACCAACAAAUAGGUUUGUACUGGCUCAAGCUACGUCAUGUCUGCCGGGGCUCCCUCACUGUACCUGACCACCACUCCCCAGUUUGACCUAUUUUAGCCGAGCUGGACCCACAAAGGAAAGCUUGGUGGCGUAGUGGCUAAGAGCUAUGGCUGCUAACCAAAAUGUCGGCAGUUUGAAUCCACCAGGUGCUCCUUGGGAACUCUAUGGGGCAGUUAUACUCUGUCCUAUAGGGUCGCUACGAGUCGGAAUCGACUCAACGGCAACAGGUUUUUUAGUUUUCUAGACCCACAAAAUUUGUCUAAGCUACAUAAACCAAUGUAGUUGGUUUAAACCAUUUUGAGCUGGUACUACCAGUACCCAGAUUCCAACUGAGCUGGUACUGGCUAGUUGCAUUCGUCCUAAACCAGCUGAAACCACUUUGGAUUAGCUGAAAUCAGACUCAACCCAAGAGUCAAAUGGUGUGCCCCCAAACAGCCCAAAGGGAAGUGCAAGCUGAGAUUCUAAAUGAAACAAUAAAUAGGAAGUCUAGGUGGCUCCAGCUGGAUUAGACUUGUUAGGACAGACGAACAUUUUGCAGUUGAGGACAGAGAGAAAGUGGAGGGCACAGACACUCCCCAAGCCCUGCUCCUGCCGCAGCUCUUGGAGUGCCUCUGUGGAAACCUAGGACUCCAAGAAACAGAGGUCAUUUGGGAGAGCUAUGGAAGUAAGGAGGAGGAGGCAGUGUGUGGACUACUCUCCUGAGAACCCAAAGGUUGGAGGUUUGAGUCCACCCACAGGUGCUUUAGAAGAAAGGCCUGGUGAUCUAUUUCCAAAAAAUCAACCAUCGAAAACUCUAUGGAACGUGGUUCUACUCUGAUACACUUGGGAUCACCAUGAGUCAGAAUCAGCUUGAUUAUGACUAGUGGUUGAGGAUCCUUUUUAGACAUUUUUUCCAUACAUAUACCGUAUAUCUGCUUUAUGUACUAUAUGCAUAUCUGUGCUUUAUAGAUAAAAAGUGUAAGUUUUUUUGUCCCUCAAGAACAGUUUUUCUCCCUUGGGGAUGAUAUCACCCACACUGAGAACGCAUUGCCUAAGUCUAACCAGGAGAGUAAAUCCAAGGGUCUAUUUGGUCACCUUUAGCUGACCAAGUACCUGUCUUUCACAGUUGCUUAAUCUUCUGUUCUACUGUUUCUGAAGUAACUAUGGUGCAACAAGAGGUGUUAGCUAUUUCAUAGACUUUGUCUUGACUGAUUGUCUAAAUUAAUCCUAAAUAAUAAAAAUUACCUGUACUUGAUUUGCUAGUCCAUGGAGCCUUAAAGUUUGAGUUAUCUUAGUUUCUAUUUGAGUCAUGGUUAGAAAUAAAUCACACAUUAUAUUUUUUGUUUAGGGGUUUUUAGUUAGAGUGGAGAUAUCUGAAAAAAUCAGCAACAUUCAGUGUCCUGAAUCCCUUCUGAUCAGUACCAUCUCGGGCUCUUAAUGAAAUGUCUUAAUGAAAUGGACAGUUUUUAUUCGAAUGCUGCGAAAGGCCAGGUAACAAAUUUUACAGUAAGAAAUUGUCAGUGGAACAAAGGACAAAAAUAAGGUAAAUACAAUAGGCCAGAAGUAAAAGGGGGAAGACAAAUAAUAAAAUUUAAGUCCAAAUGUAAAUCUGUUGUCUUGCUUUGAAUCUUGAUUUGAGGAUCUUAGAAGAAAGCUUUCUACUCCCAAUGUCAUCUUCUCAAUCCACAGAAUCCAGGGAAGAAAUUGUCUACUUUUUAGUGAACCUCAGGGUCAGCUCUCCACUGGGACUGGAUGUCCUCGUUAUGAGGUACUUGGGAUGUUUACACUGGAGGUAUCUUCUCUUGGGCGUGUGCCUAGAUUUUAAGUGUAGUAUUUGUAGUUAAAAGUAUUGAAUUGAUCCUUUCCAGGGUGGUGUUAAGGCUGAUUUUUACUGGUGUCUUUUCCAAUUAACCUACUCUUCUAGCUACAUAUCAUGUGUGUGUGUAUCUGGUGAUGUUUUCUUUGGAAAGAUAGCUUGAAUUUGUCAGGUAUGUAAUGUCUCGGGCUGUACCCCUGAGAAUACCCACAUCUGCAACUGGGUGAACACCGUGACUGUUUGGAUGGAAGAACACUCUGAGGCUGGAGAGAACAUCUGCAAAGACUCCUCUAAGACAAUGGUAGCAACAGCCAGAACUGGUUGCCUAAUUUGGGUAACUCCUUGACCCAGUAAUUUCAUCUCAAAAAUUUUCCCUGAAGAAAACUCAGAUGAUGCCAAAAUAUACAUACCAAGAUAUAAUAGUAAGAGUAAAAGAUACACUGUAAUAGUUAAAAAUUGGUUAAUGCAUGUUAUAUCUGUACAGUGGAAUAUUACAGAGCUGUUAAAUAAGAACAAAGUAGUGUCACAUACAAUGACAUGAAAAAGUAUCCAUCAUAUAUUUAAUGAAGACCAAACGUUGUAAUAAUAGUAGCCAACAUGUAUGGAGUGCUUACUACAUGCUAGGUGUGGUUUUAAGAGCUUUACAUAUAUCAUGUCAGUUAACUAUCACAACAAACCUUCGAGGUAGGUAACACCAUCUCCAUUUUACAGAUGAGAAAAUUGAGUCAAAGGAAGGUUGAGUACUGUGCCCCAGGUCACACCACUGGUAAGUGGGAGAUUUGGGAUUUGAACUUAAACAGUCUGACUCCAGAAUUGUACUUGUUUUUUCCCCUUUCAGCAAAUAUUUUAUUGCUCGCAUCUGUGUGCCAGACUCUGUUGCAGGUGCUGGGGAUAUGGCAAAAAAGGCAAAGCUCUUGCCGUUGUUGACUUACAUUCUGCUGGAGGUUGGUGAGGAAGAUAGAAAGUGCCUCAACAACAAAUGCUCCAUAGCAGAGCCUAUACUUUUAACCCUGUUCUAAACUACCUCUCAGAACAGUGGAUGGUAUGAUCUCAUUGUUGUGUUUAGAACUAUCAACUCUAUUCCAAUCUUCCCAUCUCUCUAUUGCUAUUCAUCUUAAUCUCUGCCUUUACCUAUUUCUUCUGGUUUCUAUAUGCAACGGAGAAAAUACAGAAAGACACACUCAGAACCAUAACAGUGGUUAUUUCUGAGAAAUGAAAUUGGGAAGGAGGGUUUUCCUGUUUAUUCUACAUACAACUGAGGCAAAGAGAGAUUAAGUAACAUGCCAAAGGUCGCACAACUGGUAGGUGGCAGAACUGGGACCCUGUCUCUGGUUAUGAACACUGCACUGCACACACCACAUUUCCAUUCAUGACUAGGACUGUCCUCUGCCUUUCUCAACCCUUCUGGCAAUGCCGCAGCCUCCAGACUUCCAACCAGACUUUCCCCUGAAAAGCCCCCGUGUCGUCACUGCCUUCCUCCUGGCUCCGUGGUGAGACAGAAUUAGAACUUGACUCAUGGUGGGAGGUGGUGGUGAUGGCUGCAGAAGAGGAGAAGUAACUUUCAACUUCUAGGAACUGACUUUGAAAAUCAGAUAGGACAAGGGGCUGAGUCACUGGCAGGGCCUCCCGUGGCUGAGUUUUAAUCAGGUCAGAUGGUGGGGGCAGUGUGGGGUUGGGGUGGUACGGCAGAGGGCUCCAGUUUCACUUCCUCUCUUGAGGCCCAGGCUCUUCAAUAUUGGCCCUGUCUCAUCCAUGACGAGGACUUGCCCAGCAGGUGUCAGGCAGGCCAGCUGGGCAGCUGGGGUGGGCUAAAUUUAGGUCCUAGAAUGUCAAAGCCAUUUAGGAUCCAAAGUUUCAUUUUGCAGAUAAAGAAACUGAGUCCAAGUGAGGUCAAGAGACUUGUCCAAGGUCACAUAGCCAGUUAAAGUCACAGUUGGAACUUAAAACCAGGCCUCUCCAAAAGUCACCACGUGACUCUAAAAUGUGUGCUUUUCUCAAUACACCCCACUGCCAACUCAGGGCACUGUCCCGAGGCCAGCCCUCAGCCAGGGUAGGGGGUGCAGGCAAGGACACAGCUCUGUAUCUUAGACCUAACACUGGUUUUGGACACGGACAUCUGGUUUCCAGUCCUGGCUCUACCCCUUACCAUAUGGCUUUAGGCAAUGACUUCAUCUCUCUUUGUUGUUGUUAGUUGCUGUCAAGUGGAUUCCGACUCACAGUGACCUCACGUGUUAGAGUAGAACUGCUCUGAAUGGUUUUCUUGGCUGUAAUCUUAACGAAGAACUCCACUCUAGGUUGGUGAAUCCACCCAGAGGCACCUUGGAAGACAGUCCUGCCGAUCUACUUCUGAAAGAUCAGAGCCUUGAAAAUCUUACGGAGCAGUCCUUCUACCCUGCAUGCAUGGGGUCCCCAUGAGUCAGAAUCGACUUUACAGCAUCUAACAACAACAAACAAAUCUUAAGGUAAGCAGACUGCCAGGUCUUUUCUUCUGGGGUACUGCCGGGUGGGUUCGAACCACCAACCUUUAGGUUUGCAGUCAAGCACCAAUCAUUUGUACUACCUAGGAACCUUCAACUCUUUAAAAUGAGCGUUAAAGGAUAUUGUUGGAUUCAAGAAGUGAAUGUAUGCACAAUUGCCUGGAAUAUAGUAGAUACCCAAUAUAUGGAAAUUCCUUUUUCUUUCUACAGUGAUUCCCUAGCCGACUUUGGCAGAAUCCUGUGCUCUUUGACAAUGUCUCAGGGGUCCUGGUGGGAGAGAAUGAAGAGAAAGGCAGAGCAAAUUGGGCUUAGAGCCCCUCCACCCACCACCCGCUGUGCACACAACCAGAGUAUUUUUAUUUUGUCUGUCUGUUAACCAGAAUAUUUUUCUUUAUCUACUUUAUUUUGGAGUUCUGUCUAAAAUUUUGGGUUUGAAAAUGAUUCUAUUACAAACUUUCUGACAGUCAACAACUGCCUUAAGGUUGAAAAUUCUGAGAAGACCUCCUAUAAUCACAGAAAAACAAGAAUACCAGUGCUGCUUUUACAUCUAUGAGAUUGCAUUUGAUUGCUGGCUUCCUUGGGCAGUAGGAGUCUGGGGGGAGACACUGUGUUCCCACCCAAUUGCCAUGGCCCACUUUCGUCCUUGCUAAUGGCACCCUGACUUUGGUUGACCGUUGGGCACUCUGUGAUUCACAGAGCCCCUUCCUUGCCCCAAGGAGGGAGGAAAGGUUCACGAAUCUGAACCAAUCAUGGUGAUCCAUUCCUCUUGCCAGGGACUGGUUUGGGCAUGGGUGGCAGAGCUGUGACAUGACCCCGCCUAUUACACAGAAGUUAAUGGGAGAGAUGAGCUUCUGGGGAAAGAGGCCCUCUUCAAUUAAAAAAAAAGGUACAUGAAGAAAAAUGUUGGCAGUGGUGUCCUUUCCAUACCUGUUCUAGGCUAAGUCCUGGCCACCCAGCUUCCUUUUGCUCCUGCCCACUGUCUAAGCCCGAUUCCUCAGCCAGGCCUCCUAAAGAUUCCGGGACCUGCACAGCAUCCUUUCAAUACCUUGCUUUUCUCCUUCCAUCGGUCAGAAUUGGUUUCAGGUGUCUGCACAGAAGGUCCCAUCAGGUCCUGGCAUCUUAGUGGAGAUAUCAGGCAUGCCGUUGGGCUUAGGGGAGCAACCGGGGCCUGAAACAUACAUUUCAAAACCAUACAGAUGAGAUUUAAAACCAUGGAAUCAGGUGAAAACACCUGGGAAGAGAGAAAACUCUGCGGGAUAGUGUUAACCUGCAGUCCUCGUGAGAAAUACAGGUGUGAAGUCACUGAUACUUGGGGGAGGGUGGGAAAGGGCUGUUUGUUAUGCAAUAUUUAGUAUAAUAUUUAUAAUAAUAGUGACAUAUAUUGAAUACUUCUUAUUGUAAAACACUUUCUCUCUAUAUAUAUAGUCUCUAAUCCUAGUAAAAAAAAAAAAAAUUGCGACCUAGGGAUUAUUACUUCCAUUUUAGAGAUGAACAAACUGAGGCUCAAAGAGGUGAAGAAACAACUAGCCAAAGUCACACUUGGAGUGGCAGAGCUGGGAUUCAACCUGAAGUCUGUCUGAGUCCAAAGCUCUUCACCCCACGUCUGAGCCCUCCUGUCUCCUCCCCUUCCCCCUCCCCAUCUCUCGCCUUCAUUCUCUACUAGCAUCAGUCUGAAGUGCAACCUGUUGGCCGCAACUGACAUAGGUAAUAUUUAAUUCACUUUAAUUAAAAUACAUUUUAGUGGAUUUUUUCUUUCCCUGGGACAUAACUCACUUUGAUGGGAACCCAUUGAAUUUUAACGGGAAACCUAUUAAAGGAACAUAUUGUGAUCUUUAAUGAAGCUGGGCUGCGAUUCUGUGGAGAACCACCUACAGGUAAUUAGAAGCCCUCCAGGCCAUUUGGGAAUAAGGUGAAAUGAACUUCAGUUUGUUUAAGACAAUUAGUGCAGACAAAGAUCUGGGAAUGAAUUAAAUGGUCCUUGAUUAAGAGCAGCUGUGCAGGUGGCGUUCUCAGGAAAAUGGGACAAGUAAGUGGGGCCUUUAAGAAAAAGUAAUUAUUAGUGCUUAUCUGUUUAUAUUGGCAGUUGGUACUUCCACCAGGCUGUUGGUUUUGAUCAAGUGGCUCCACCUCCCCCCAACUCUCCCUGCUGCCCUCCCUUAUUGAUACACAACUCCUUCUGGGUCUGCUGGUUAUCUCAAGGGGCCUUUCUGCCUCUGGCAGCAGAUAGGUGUAACCACACUGGCACCCUCCCACAGGUAGGUGCUUCCAUUUUGACAGGCACUUGUACGCUGGUUCAGAUAGAUACUUUCAUGCUGGCAAGAUGGGGAGCCUCCAUGUCCUCAAGGAUGGAUGUUUCUACACUAGCAGGAAUGGGUAUUUCUAUGCUCAUAGGGAUGCAUGUUUUAUAUCUGCAGCCCUAGGAGCCACUGUCCUCCUUAAAGGAGGCAUUUCUCCAGCUCUAGGCUGGACUCGUCCACGCUGGAAUCCUGGGCACCUCCACAGUGGGAGGAAUGAUAAUAAAGAACUGACAGUGCCAAAUUGCUUUAUGCUCUAGAGGGAAGCACGUUUCUGCUUGGGCUGAAUGAGGGCCUUUGUACAUGCAGGGAGGGUACGUAUUUGCUGGAAGAAUGGGAGGACUGCUUGGAAGAAGGGACAUUUCAACUGAGUCAUGAUGGAAGUUAACAAGGGGGCAUUCCUAUAUUGACAGGAAUGGAGAGCCCACUUCACAAGUAUGAAUGCUUCUACACUGAUAGGAAUGAAAGCCUCUGCAGUGUUUGUGCUGGGCAUAUCGACCAGGACAGGCAGGGGUAUGAUUAUCCUUAAAGAACCGGUCCCUGGAUCCUACCACUUUCCACCCUGCUGCCAUUGUUCCCACGAAACAAAGGAUAAACCCUUGUAAAUAAACAGAAGCCAGGCUCUUCUAAAAGUAGAGCGAAAAACAGUUUUGAAAUUAAACAAUUCUGUAAGAGCAAUGAACUCCUCGGAAUAUACCCUAGAGAUACAAGAGCCUUCACACAAACAGAUAUAUGCACACCCAUGUUUAUUGCAGCUCUGUUUACAAUAGCAAAAAGCUGGAAGCAACUAAGGUGUCCAUCAACGGAUGAAUGGGUAAAUAAAUUGUGGUAUAUUCACACGAUGGAAUACUACGCAUCGAUAAAGAACAGUGACGAAUCUGUGAAACGUUUCAUAACAUGGAGGAACCUGGAAGGCAUUACGCUGAGCGAAAUUAGUCAGAGGCAAAAGGACAAAUAUUGUAUAAGACCACUGUUAUAAGAUCUUGAGAAAUAGUAAAAACUGAGAAGAACACAUACUUUUGUGGUUAC